RNAcentral lists this ribosomal RNA (254 nucleotides) under uncultured bacterium. Its description in RNAcentral is "partial 16S ribosomal RNA". It matches the Rfam family "Bacterial small subunit ribosomal RNA", at positions 524 to 776 of the family's 1533-position model. The record is from RNAcentral.
UACGUAGGGGGCAAGCGUUGUCCGGAUUUAUUGGGCGUAAAGCGCUCGCAGGUGGUUCGAUGCGUCGUGCGUGAAAGACCCCGGCUCAACUGGGGGGUGUCGUGCGAUACGGUCGGACUGGAGGCCAGUAGGGGGAGUGCGGAAUUCCGGGUGUAGUGGUGGAAUGCGUAGAGAUCCGGAGGAACACCAGCGGCGAAGGCGGCAUCCUGGACUGGUCCUGACACUCAUGAGCGAAAGCGUGGGGAGCGAGUCGG